AAUAAGAUAAGCUAAAUAAGCUAUUGGGCCCAUACCCCAACAAUGACUACAUAUCUCUUAUUA
Molecule: transfer RNA, 63 nt
Filed under: Olavius algarvensis
Lineage: Eukaryota; Metazoa; Annelida; Clitellata; Tubificida; Naididae
Source: RNAcentral